Long non-coding RNA from Pistacia vera, 544 nucleotides. RefSeq lists it as uncharacterized. The record is from RefSeq and is a predicted model, not a curated record. NCBI's taxonomy places the organism in Eukaryota, Viridiplantae, Streptophyta, Magnoliopsida, Sapindales, Anacardiaceae. The transcript is spliced from 4 exons.
CCUCAGCUUAGAUCUUUGCCUAAUCUUCAAUAUCGGUAACAACAUUUUGUUUUUCCUUUUGUCUGUUUGUUUUGUGAACUCAAUGAAUUUAUGCUUAUGGUAAAUAAAUUAGACACGUACGGUUUUAUCAAAUGAGUUGACAUUUUACUGGCAGGGAGAUAUAUAGCAAUCAAAUCAAUGGGUCGAUUCCAGCCGAGUUCGGAAAUUUAACAAAAUUGCUCAGCUUUGACCUGUACGAAAAUCAACUCUCAGGUCCAAUUCCAGAUUCGCUUGGCAACUUGAAAGCUCUACUGUUUAUGAGAUUUAACGAUAACAAGCUAGCGGGCACAGUACCCCAGAGUGUCAAAGCCCUUACAAAUGAAAUUUUGAGGAUCCUCUGCAGGGCAACAAUAUCCAGAUAAUCAAAAUAUUGGUGUUCAAAAUCACAUGUUUCCCUAGAGAAUACCGCUUCAACUGGCUGCUGCAGGGCAACAAGUUCCAGCUAAUCAAAAUUCUGGUGUUCAGGAUUACAUUUUUCCCCAGGGAAUACCAUUUCAAUUGGCUG